This 521-nucleotide ribosomal RNA is filed under the name uncultured bacterium. RNAcentral describes it as "bacterial SSU rRNA". It matches the Rfam family "Bacterial small subunit ribosomal RNA", at positions 8 to 526 of the family's 1533-position model. The record is from RNAcentral.
AGAGUUUGAUCAUGGCUCAGAUUGAACGCUGGCGGCAUGCUUUACACAUGCAAGUCGAACGGGGUGAGGGGGCAACUCCUCAUUCAGUGGCGAACGGGUGAGUAAUGCAUCGGAACGUGUCCCGUAGUGGGGGAUAACGCCGCGAAAGCGGCGCUAAUACCGCAUACGCUCUACGGAGGAAAGCGGGGGAUCGCAAGACCUCGCGCUAAGGGAGCGGCCGAUGUCCGAUUAGCUUGUUGGUGGGGUAAUGGCUUACCAAGGCGACGAUCGGUAGCUGGUCUGAGAGGAUGAUCAGCCACACUGGGACUGAGACACGGCCCAGACUCCUACGGGAGGCAGCAGUGGGGAAUUUUGGACAAUGGGGGAAACCCUGAUCCAGCCAUGCCGCGUGCGGGAAGAAGGCCUUCGGGUUGUAAACCGCUUUUAGCCGGGACGAAAGCGCUACGGAUAACACCCGUGGCGGUUGACGGUACCGGCGGAAUAAGCACCGGCUAACUACGUGCCAGCAGCCGCGGUAAUAC